GACGAACGCUGGCGGCGUGCUUAACACAUGCAAGUCGAACGGAAAGGCCCUGCUUUUGUGGGGUGCUCGAGUGGCGAACGGGUGAGUAACACGUGAGUAACCUGCCCUUGACUUUGGGAUAACUUCAGGAAACUGGGGCUAAUACCGGAUAGGAGCUCCUGCUGCAUGGUGGGGGUUGGAAAGUUUCGGCGGUUGGGGAUGGACUCGCGGCUUAUCAGCUUGUUGGUGGGGUAGUGGCUUACCAAGGCUUUGACGGGUAGCCGGCCUGAGAGGGUGACCGGCCACAUUGGGACUGAGAUACGGACCAGACUCCUACGGGAGGCAGCAGUGGGGAAUAUUGCACAAUGGGCGGGAGCCUGAUGCAGCAACGCCGCGUGCGGGAUGACGGCCUUCGGGUUGUAAACCGAUUUCGCCUGUGACGAAGCGUGAGUGACGGUAAUGGGUAAAGAAGCACCGGCUAACUACGUG
RNAcentral lists this ribosomal RNA (468 nucleotides) under uncultured bacterium. Its description in RNAcentral is "partial 16S ribosomal RNA". It matches the Rfam family "Bacterial small subunit ribosomal RNA", at positions 28 to 507 of the family's 1533-position model. The record is from RNAcentral.